RNAcentral lists this long non-coding RNA (623 nucleotides) under Numida meleagris (helmeted guineafowl). RNAcentral describes it as "lncRNA (ENSNMEG00000006936.1)". Lineage: Eukaryota; Metazoa; Chordata; Aves; Galliformes; Numididae. The record is from RNAcentral.
CCUCUCCCUGCGCAGUCACCUUCAGGCCGUGUAAUGCAGUAGACGCCUGCUUGUUUGACAUGAGGGACCUGAGAGGGCCAAGGUCCUGCUGGAUCCGCGAGUGAAAGAACAGAAACUGCUGGAGGGAGAGCAGAGGUUAGAGGAGGGCAGCAGAGACCAGUGUAAAGCAGAAGAGGGCACUAGUAAACUGACCUAUUGCAGCCACGGCUCACGUCUGAGCUGGUUACAGAACAAAACGAUUGAUUGAGUAUUGAAGGCAAUAGCACUGUUUGACGAGGCUAUAGCUCCAGAGCUCGGAAGUUUCUGACGCUGGUGAAAACUGCGUGCAGAGCCGUACAGAGGAUACAUGCUCAAUUAUUUCAACGUCAUAGAUGAAGAAAAAGCAGUUCCAAAAGUUUUUGAGGAGGAACAGUCCCUUCAUUCCUGUUUGCGUGGCAACAACAGCUGCAUUCAGAUGAAAAGGCCAGCUUGUUAAACAUCAUGUAACACUGAAUGUACUGAAUAUUUUAAAGGUCAGGUAUUGACAGGCACUGAGCUGCUUAUGUUUCCCUAAUGACCCCAAUUACAUCCAAGCUGAGUAAGUAGUCAAUAAACAAUGGCAUUAACAUAUGUAGAAAAAGUGU